GCCUGGUUGGCUCAGUCAGAAAAGCAUGUGACUGUUGAUCUCAAGGUUGUGAGUUUCAGCCCCACAUUAAGUG
RNAcentral lists this transfer RNA (73 nucleotides) under Felis catus (domestic cat). It matches the Rfam family "tRNA". From Rfam's summary of the family: Transfer RNA (tRNA) molecules are approximately 80 nucleotides in length. Lineage: Eukaryota; Metazoa; Chordata; Mammalia; Carnivora; Felidae. RNAcentral also lists the same sequence under 6 other names. The record is from Rfam by way of RNAcentral.